RNAcentral lists this ribosomal RNA (412 nucleotides) under soil bacterium 11V-02. RNAcentral describes it as "bacterial SSU rRNA". It matches the Rfam family "Bacterial small subunit ribosomal RNA", at positions 24 to 484 of the family's 1533-position model. The record is from RNAcentral.
UCAGAACGAACGCUGGCGGCAGGCUUAACACAUGCAAGUCGAGCGCCUCGCAAGAGGAGCGGCAGACGGGUGAGUAACGCGUGGGAAUCUACCCAUCUCUACGGAACAACUCCGGGAAACUGGAGCUAAUACCGUAUACGUCCUUCGGGAGAAAGAUUUAUCGGAGAUGGAUGAGCCCGCGUUGGAUUAGCUAGUUGGUGGGGUAAUGGCCUACCAAGGCGACGAUCCAUAGCUGGUCUGAGAGGAUGAUCAGCCACACUGGGACUGAGACACGGCCCAGACUCCUACGGGAGGCAGCAGUGGGGAAUAUUGGACAAUGGGCGCAAGCCUGAUCCAGCCAUGCCGCGUGAGUGAUGAAGGCCCUAGGGUUGUAAAGCUCUUUCAACGGUGAAGAUAAUGACGGUAACCGAGA